CUUGCCCCCCUCUAGCCCAACUACCCACACUCACCAAUAUCAAAAAUCCACUACCUCACCGAACCAAAACAUUCUAAUCUUACUCCUAGUAUAGGCGAUAGAAAAGAUUUACGGCGCAAUAGAGACCAACCGUACCGUAAGGGAAAGAUGAAAUAACAAUGAAAACCACAAGCAAAAAACAGUAAAGACUAACCCUUGUACCUCUUGCAUCAUGAUUUAGCAAGAACAAUCAAGCAAAGCGAACUAAAGUUUGUCCCCCCGAAACCCAAGCGAGCUACCUGUGGGCAGCUAAAAUUGAGCGAACCCGUCUCUGUAGCAAAAGAGUGGGAUGACCUACUGGUAGUGGUGAAAAGCCAACCGAGCUGGGUGAUAGCUGGUUACCUGCUAAAUGAAUCUAAGUUCCCCCUUAACUCAUUCCCCAAGGACACACAUCAACCUCACACAUGUUAGAGUUAAGAGCUACUCGACGGAGGUACAGCUCCCUCGAAAAAGGACACAACCUCCCCUAGCGGAUAAUACCCUUAGAUACCCCACAUCGUAGGCCUUCAAGCAGCCACCAACAAAAGAGUGCGUCAAAGCUCUUCCCCCAAAAAUCCCCAACCUAAUUCGACUCCCUUACCUAAAGCAGGUUAAUCUAUGAUAAUAGAAGAAUCAAUGCUAAAAUGAGUAACUUGGAACCUUCCUCCACAUAGCGUAAACUUACAUCAACACAUUAUUAACAGAACCUAACUCAUACUUCCACCUCAACAAGAACACGUAUCUAACCCCAUCUGUUAACCCAACUCAGGAACGCUCACACUGACGAUUCAAACCUGCAAAAGGAACUCGGCAAACCAAAGACCCGACUGUUUACCAAAAACAUAGCCUUCAGCAAACAACAAGUAUUGAAGGUGAUGCCUGCCCAGUGACCCUCAAAGUUCAACGGCCGCGGUAUCCUAACCGUGCGAAGGUAGCGCAAUCAAUUGUCCCAUAAAUUGAGACUUGUAUGAACGGCUAAACGAGGUCUUAACUGUCUCUUGCAAGUAAUCAGUGAAAUUAGUAUUCUCGUGCAAAAACGAGAAUGUGACCAUAAGACGAGAAGACCCUGUGGAACUUUAAAAUCACGACCAUCUUUUCAUCAAUCCAAUCCACCGGACCUACCCACAUAAAACUCUUGGUCGACAUUUUUCGGUUGGGGCGACCUUGGAGAAAAACAAAUCCUCCAAACCCAUAGACCAUACCUCUUCGCUAAGAGCAACCCCUCAAAGCACUAAUAGUAACUUAGACCCAAUACAAUUGAUCAAUGGACCAAGCUACCCCAGGGAUAACAGCGCAAUCUCCUCCAAGAGCCCAUAUCGACAAGGAGGUUUACGACCUCGAUGUUGGAUCAGGACAACCUAAUGGUGCAGCCGCUAUUAAGGGUUCGUUUGUUCAACGAUUAACAGUCCUACGUGAUCUGAGUUCAGACCGGAGCAAUCCAGGUCGGUUUCUAUCUAUGAACGAACUCCUCCUAGUACGAAAGGACCGGAGAAGUAGGGUCAAUGCCAUAAAGCACACCCUAGCCCUCAAAGCAAUGAAUUCAACUCAAUUGCUAAGAAACCUCACACUUCCACACAACUCCUAGAAAAGGAACAG
RNAcentral lists this ribosomal RNA (1614 nucleotides) under Ithaginis cruentus. RNAcentral describes it as "16S ribosomal RNA". It matches the Rfam family "Bacterial large subunit ribosomal RNA". Lineage: Eukaryota; Metazoa; Chordata; Aves; Galliformes; Phasianidae. The record is from RNAcentral.